GAGUAGUUUGGGAAUGCUGCUCCAAAUGGGAGGUAUAUGUCUUCUAAAGCUAAAUACCGGCCAGAGACCGAUAGCGCACAAGUAAAGUGAUCGAAAGAUGAAAAGCACUUUGAAAAGAGGGUUAAAUAGUACGUGAAAUUGUUGAAAGGGAAGCGCCCGCGACCAGACCUGGGCGCGGCGGAUCAUCCGGCGCUCCCCGCCGGUGCGCUCCGCCGCCCCGCCCAGGCCAGCAUCAGCUCGUCCCCCGGGGGAUAAAGGCCCUGGGAACGUGGCUCCCCAGGGAGUGUUAUAGCCCACCGCGCAAUGCCCUGGGGCGGGCUGAGGUUCGCGCCGCCCAGGCGGCAAGGAUGCUGGCGUAAUGGUCAUCAGCGACCCGUCUUGAAACACGGACCAAGGAGUCGUCUUCAUAUGCGAGUGUUCAGGUGGCCAAAACCCCUACGCGGAAUGAAAGUGAACGCAGGUGAGAGCCUCUGGCGUAUCAUCGACCGAUCCUGAUGUUCUCGGAUGGAUUUGAGUAGGAGCAUACGGGGCCGGACCCGAAAGAAGGUGAACUAUGCCUGUGUAAGGUGAAGCCAGAGGAAACUCUGGUGGAGGCUCGCAGCGAUUCUGACGUGCAAAUCGAUCGUC
This 627-nucleotide ribosomal RNA is filed under the name Shimizuomyces cinereus. RNAcentral's name for it is "partial large subunit ribosomal RNA". It matches the Rfam family "Eukaryotic large subunit ribosomal RNA", at positions 267 to 906 of the family's 3401-position model. Lineage: Eukaryota; Fungi; Ascomycota; Sordariomycetes; Hypocreales; Clavicipitaceae. The record is from RNAcentral.